RNAcentral lists this ribosomal RNA (255 nucleotides) under uncultured bacterium. RNAcentral's name for it is "partial 16S ribosomal RNA". It matches the Rfam family "Bacterial small subunit ribosomal RNA", at positions 524 to 776 of the family's 1533-position model. The record is from RNAcentral.
UACGUAGGGUGCAAGCGUUAAUCGGAAUUACUGGGCGUAAAGCGUGCGCAGGCGGCUAUGCAAGACAGAUGUGAAAUCCCCGGGCUCAACCUGGGAACUGCAUUUGUGACUGCAUGGCUAGAGUACGGUAGAGGGGGGGAUGGAAUUCCACGUGUAGCAGUGAAAUGCGUAGAUAUGUGGAGGAACACCGAUGGCGAAGGCAGCCCCCUGGGUCAAGAUUGACGCUCAUGCACGAAAGCGUGGGGAGCAAACAGG